CCUACGGGAGGCAGCAGUGGGGAAUAUUGCACAAUGGGGGAAACCCUGAUGCAGCGACGCCGCGUGAGUGAAGAAGUAUCUCGGUACGUAAAGCUCUAUCAGCAGGGAAGAAAAUGACGGUACCUGACUAAGAAGCCCCGGCUAACUACGUGCCAGCAGCCGCGGUAAUACGUAGGGGGCAAGCGUUAUCCGGAUUUACUGGGUGUGAAGGGAGCGUAGGCGGCAGGACAAGUCUGGAGUGAAAUCCCGGGGCUUAACCCCGGAACUGCUUUGGAAACUGUGCGGCUGGAGUGCAGGAGGGGUAGGCGGAAUUCGUAGUGUAGCGGUGAAAUGCGUAGAUAUUAGGAAGAACACCGAUGGCGAAGGCGGCUUGCUGGAGUGUAACUGACGUUGAGGCUCGAAAGCGUGGGGAGCGAACAGGAUUAGAUACCCCAGUAGUC
This 440-nucleotide ribosomal RNA is filed under the name uncultured bacterium. RNAcentral describes it as "partial 16S ribosomal RNA". It matches the Rfam family "Bacterial small subunit ribosomal RNA", at positions 338 to 795 of the family's 1533-position model. The record is from RNAcentral.